Long non-coding RNA from Cyprinus carpio carpio, 3308 nucleotides. Lineage: Eukaryota; Metazoa; Chordata; Actinopteri; Cypriniformes; Cyprinidae. The record is from Ensembl.
AAUUAAUAAUUUGCCAGUGACAACGUCACCUUCAGUAAACUUACUGUUGUCAUUAAUUUAUUUAUUUGUUUAUGUGUUUAUUUAUUUAUUUAGUGUGUGUGUAAACGGACUGUGCUGAUGGAUAUAGUAAUAUAAUACAUUAAAUUAUUACAUGCCAUCUUUAAUGAAAUGUAUUUUAUUUAGGUGAAAUCUAACUGCAUAUCUGGAUUGGUUUAAGUUAAACCCCACUAAAUACCCGCGUCUCAUAAAGCAACCACACUAAUCUAAGCGGAGACGAAUCUAAUCGAUUCGUGAGCGGCCGAAUGGUCACGAAUGUAUCCGAAAAUGCGCACGAGCAACCUGUAAGCCAGCCAGGGAGUGAGACAGCAUGAUUGAAGGGACUGUAGGCAGGCAGACCAGCAGAGAGUCUCCGACCGCUCUGGAGCAGAAGUCCGUGAGACACAAACUCUGGAUUCACAACAAGAGAAGCUUUUCCAAUCUACCGUAGUUAUAGCAACCAGUCUCAAUAACGGGAUUAUAACGGCCGCGUGGCACAUUAGUAGAGGAAGAGUCGUUACUCUGUGGAAUCAAAGAAUUUUCCAGUUGAUUUUAAAAGUGGAUUUGUACGUGGCCAACUGAACCGGGUGAAACGAGCGGUUGCCUUGCACGGAAAGAAAUGCAAACCGCGGCGGAACGGAGAGACGAUCGUUGUGUGAGGUCCGCGUGGUGUAUGUCUACUCGUUGUUCGGCGUUCCUGCCUCUUGCUCUGUUUCCUGUUCGGUCGUCACUGGAUUACAACCUUGUUUACGGAUAUCUCGCCUUCACCCACUCCACCAACGCACUCAAGGGGAGUGUUUGUUCCUCACCAUCUCCACCAACGCACUCAAGGGAAUCGUCGGGUCUUCACCAGUUCUAUCAGCGCACUCAAGGGAAUCUACUCACCUGUCUGUGCUGCCAUCAAAGUCCCUGCGUCAUUCUCCAGGAGCCUGUCAUCAUCUCAUAGUGUCAAUAAACAUCAUUAUUACUCGCAGUUGCCUCCUGUCCUUUAUCACGCCGUGACAACGAUAUGAUACACGAAUGAAUAAGCACAGCGCGAUUGCCAAUCAAACAGCCGCGUUGCCAUCUCUGCGUAUCUCCAUCUCUCAAAAACCAAACCAGCUCUCUGUCUAGAGUAUAGGCUAAUAAUCAACUUAAAUACAGAUACAUUUUCUACUAGGUCUACAUGUUUGCUUCCUUAACUUUUGCUGGUUUGCGUAGCAAAUGCACAUUUGUUUAGUGAAGUUAAAAAAAGACUCGUUUAAAUAGUUAUUUACAGCAUAAUGAAAUGUUAGCCUUGGAAAUUAUUAAUUUUAUAUUUAAGAACAAUGAAUAGGGAAAAAAAGAAAAGAAAAAAAAGGGAAAUAUUUUUCCAUACUCUGUUCUCUUUUUUUUCCCCAUAGGUUUUUCAGACCAGCGAAUUAAGUGAAAUACUUUUUUAAAUGCAGGAACCGGUGAGCCAAAGGAAUUCAUGUUGUUUAACAUAAUCCUCUAAAAUUACAACGCAGUAACAAGUGUGUGAAGUAGCUAAAUGAGUUUAUAAAUGAAAUAAGCGCAAAUAAAAUAGCAGUGUUGCAGUUGCCUUUUUCUAUGCAUUUGCUGGAAAUGACUUAAAUCAUUUUCCAUAUUUCUAAAUUGCGUAGGAACCCUUACUGUUUUAAUUUAGAUACUUAAAUAUCUAUUUAUUGGAUCAUGAAAGGUACCCAAGCUGGGACUCAAACUCACGUUGCUCGAAGCACAACCGCACUACAUCUCGAAGCACCGCCUAUAAAAGGAAAUCUGCUCCGACUGUUAGAAGAUGUUUAAAGAGCAGGUCAUAUGGUAUUUUAAAGUGUCCCAAUAUUGUAUUGGAAUCCCCUACAUCAGGUUUAAAUGCAUCUAAGGUCAGAAAACAUUGUAAUUUUCUCAGAAUAUACAUUUAAUAUUAGAGUCAUUUGCCAAUGAUUAGGAAAUGAUUCGUUUCAAGCAAGUUCGGAGCAAGCCCCUCCCUUCCUCAACCCUACUCUGCUCUGAUUGGUCAGCUGGCCAAACCUGUUGUGAUUGGCACAGAGAUGAGUCCUUGAGCCAGUUAGCCAGCGCUACCAUUGACAAAGCACCUUUACAUAAAACAAUAAUAUAGUCAAUCCGUUCUUAUAAUGACAUAAAAUACAAAAACACUUAUGCAAGCGAAUCGUGCCCACAGCUAAAGUUUAGCUGCUAAACUGUGAACACUAGGUGGAUACGUUAGCCGAGUGCUAACGUGACUAACUGAUUAAACAAUACAGUUUGUAAACCAAAAUAUGUCUACUGUAAUGUUUGAAGAACGACAGACAAAAGACGCUUGGUCUUAACUUUUAAUCAGAACGCAGAACAGUUGUAUCACAGGAGCACCAGCCGAAAUCACUCAUCUCUCCCGCAUUAACCCUGUAACUGCCAGUGCAGCACAAUAAACAGCAGUUUCACAAUUAUUAUAAAGUCUGUGUGCUACACUACAUUCUUUAUUAUUAAGCAAAGUAAUUAGAACAACGUCAGUCUACAAUAAUCGACAUAUUCUUAGGUUCACUGCGAAUUUUUAGAACUACUUCAGUAAGACAGUAAUAUCGUGCUUUACCUGGAAACCUAAAGCUGCACUAGGUAUACAUCACAUAUUGGCACAAAAAAAUGAUAUUUUGAGCACUCAAUUGAAAAUGUACACCUAACGUAUCAAUCGUACUACUUACAGGUCGUGGUUCAGAGAGCUUGUUAGUCCAAAUUAAGAAGAUUAGAAGCCAACGAAGAUAAAAGCCCAGAUUAGAGAAGCAGUUCUUGAUAAAAUGACAAGCACACAACAAAAGGCUCGAAUUGUAUUUCUGUGGUAUCCUUGAACACCGCGUCUUCUCAACAUUAUGUAAACGCACUAAUAGCAAAAGUGUUUGUGGGCAGAUCAGACUCUGUUCGUAUUUCGCGGGCAGGCGGGGAUUAUGCAAAUGUGUUACCCAGUGACGUAUACCGGUAACAGACAAAAGAUUUGAAAAUGUAACGACUCGUAAAGGCGACUCUGAGUCGACUCUCUCUUUUGAGAGACAAUAUCUUUAUUUAUCAUGCACUUUUUUGAUUAACAACUUUGCAGAUUGUUUUCAUUUAAGGAUAGCUACGUUAUAAACUGCAAAAGAGAGAUUUUUCAAAAACCCAUAUGACCUGCUCUUUAAAUGUUAUAAUCAUAAAAAAAUAUAUUAUUUUAGUUAAAAACUGCAUAUUUGUUCAGUUCUGGUUCAAGCUCCGCCUGCUUCCGGUAUUAUCCAAAUACAGAUAUAGAUACGAAUUAUUUUGUGAUU